AGGUUUGAUCAUGGCUCAGAGCGAACGUUAGCGGCGCGCUUAAUACAUGCAAGUCGUACGAGAAAGCACCUUCGGGUGUGAGUAGAGUGGCGCACGGGUGCGGAACACGUAGGCAAUCUACCCCUUGGCGGGGGAUAACUACUCGAAAGGGUAGCUAAUACCGCAUGAGACCACGGUCACUUCGGUGACAGGGGUUAAAGCUGGCCUCUUCAUGAAAGCUAGCACCAGGGGAUGAGCCUGCGGCCCAUCAGCUUGAUGGUAGGGUAACGGCCUACCAUGGCUAAGUACGGGUAGCUGGUCUGAGAGGAUGAUCAGCCACACUGGCACUGGAACACGGGCCAGACUCCUACGGGAGGCAGCAGUAGGGAAUCUUGGACAAUGGGCGAAAGCCUGAUCCAGCGACGCCGCGUGAGUGAUGGAAGG
RNAcentral lists this ribosomal RNA (423 nucleotides) under uncultured bacterium. Its description in RNAcentral is "bacterial SSU rRNA". It matches the Rfam family "Bacterial small subunit ribosomal RNA", at positions 9 to 415 of the family's 1533-position model. The record is from RNAcentral.